Molecule: long non-coding RNA, 782 nt
Filed under: Equus asinus (donkey)
Lineage: Eukaryota; Metazoa; Chordata; Mammalia; Perissodactyla; Equidae
Description: lncRNA (ENSEASG00005024982.1)
Source: RNAcentral
GGGGAACUUUGGGGUGUGCUCGGAAAAGGCAGCGUGCGCACCUAGGGCGAGGGACUAGCUGGGAAGGGUGUGCCUGUGCUUGGGGAUGGGAGCAGGAAGUGUCUGGGACCUCGUCGCCCCCGCGGCGGUGUAUAAAGCCGGGCGGGCCGUCAGAGCGGAGCUUCAGAGCAGAGACAAGAGCCCAGAAAGGAGCAGAUGCUAGAUUUGCAAGAUCAGAAGCAGGUCUUGAUCCUCCUGCCCAGGAUGAACCAGACUUGAUGAUGCCACCUUCAGGAGCCACCACACUGUGUGACAGUGGGGCAUUUGGGCCGUCCCUGGGAAGAACAGAUGCGCUGCUGUCACACAUGUCCACCACCACAUGUGACAUUAGUGACGUUAUCCUGACGUCACAGGAUCCAAGAAUGAUGAUCUGUGAAGAGUUUUCCAAGGUCACCUACUUCUAACUCUUUUGAAAGAUUUAAAGACAUUGGGCCUGAAAACUUCAGUGACUUGUCCGGGGAAACGCAGUUUGUGACAGUUCACUCUCUCACAGACUCUCUCCUGGCUUUGAUGAAGCAAGCUGCCAUGUUGGAGAGGCCUACAUGACAAGGAACUGAAGGUUGCCUCCAGCCAGCUCCAGCCAACAGCCAUCCAGGAAUUGAGGCUCUCAGUCCAACAGGCCUUGAGGAACUGCAUCCAGCCAGCAACUAUAGAAGUGAGCAAAGAAGGGUGUAUUUCCCCAGUCAAGCCUUCAGAUGAGACCCCAGCCCCAGCUGACACCUUAAUUGCAGCCUUGUGAGAGA